GGGGUUAUGAGGGGAGAAGCUUGGGCACUGGUCUGAAGCCGCCUCCUCCCCCUUUCUGUCUUCCGCUGCAGCAGAGGCCCCUGCACCUCUGUUCCCACAGGGAUCCGUGAGCUGGAGCCUGCAAUGACCUGCUGCAGGUCCAGUACAAUGUUAUGAGAGGUGGGCGUCCAAGGAAAAAUCUCCCAGUGCUCCUUAAGCACGCGAGUGAGUGUACUGGACGUGAAUCUGCCAGCCUCAUCCAUACCUUCAGAUGACUGCAGCCCAGCCAACAGCUCAAUGCAACUGCUUGUGGAAAGCAGAUUGACUACUGAUAUAGGUUACAUGAAUGAACCUCAAAAACAUGUCAAAUGAAGGAAGCCAGAUGAAAGAGACUCCUUAUUGUUUAAUUCCACUUACAUUACAUGUGAUUUUUGGAAAGAGAAUCAGAUGGCAAGUGGCAUGGAUGGGCAUACCUCUUGUUCCCUUCCCUCCCUUCAGACUUGUACCACUCCAAGAAAGAAUGGGAAGAACUACUUGUAAACAACAAUUACUUGGCAACAAUAAGGCAGAAGGGGAUUCAUGGGCAGCUGAGAAGCAGCAGGUUCUGCAGCAUUUGCUGGAAGAAAACUGCCCACCCAAGAUCAUUAGCAUCGGUCAACGCUGUGGAGUGAAGACGGCACAAGGUGCUCAGCCCCAGUUGCUGUCCCGCAGGAUGUGACAACUGUAAUGCUGAUUCCUGAUGGAAAUUACCCGACAGUGUACUGGAGGAGGUGUAGGAGCUCUUUCUGUGGAAAGAUAAAGAACUUCGAUCAACGAUUGAACAAGAUGUCAAAAGAUCAUAUGCAGAAUUGUUUACAAGUUACUUCUAAUAAUUCAAGCCAUUCGUUUGUGUAAGCAGCCUCUUCUCUCCAUCUGCUCAGUACUUCCAUCAUGAAAGAAAAGUUCCUUUAGCACGUAGGUAAUGUCCAUAGCUAUUAGAUAUUGGACUUCAACAUUCUUGGUCAUCCAGUGGAAGCCCAUGUGAUCUGUGCCAGAAGAUGCUAAAGUGGCUUCUAGCUAAUUUACUCUACAACAUCUUUCCUCCUCAGUUUCGUCUGAUGGAUAUGAAAUGAAGGCAAGAGUGACCACCUCUCAAGACUUUCAUAGAGUAAAAAGCAUGUGCAGAUCAACUAGCACUGGGUGACAAGAAUUUAUUGUCAAAGCUAUCAGAAUACUGAUGAGGUGCAUGUGGCUGAAGUUUCUCCUCCUGUAUGGCUCAAGUUUCUGAUGGCUUGGGAAACUCCAGCUCCUCUUUGUCCCAUGACUCCACACUGCAGUCUCCUAAGUUGCUAAAAAUUUCUGCAAAGAUGAAACAGAAUCCAACAUCUUCU
This is a non-coding RNA of Oryctolagus cuniculus (rabbit), 1349 nucleotides long. The record is from RefSeq and is a predicted model, not a curated record. NCBI's taxonomy places the organism in Eukaryota, Metazoa, Chordata, Mammalia, Lagomorpha, Leporidae.